GGAAGUAAAAGUCGUAACAAGGUUUCCGUAGGUGAACCUGCGGAAGGAUCAUUCACAAUACAAAAACUCACAUCCUGUGAACCCGCUAAUGGCCCUGCCAUUGGCAAUCACACAUACCGGUCUGCUUGGUAUGUGGCUGUGCAAACAGUUGCAGACAACUUGUGGUGGUUAUAUCCUAAGAUAUUCAUAAGCUCUAUACACUAUUAGCGGUGGAUGUCUUGGCUCCCACAACGAUGAAGGCCGCAGCAAAAUGCGAAACGCAUUGUGAUUAGCGGAAUUCUGUGAAUCAAUAGGUCGCUGAACGCAAACGGCACUACUGCGUGAGCAGUAGUAGGUCUGUUUCAGUCUCAAUUGCAAUCUCACCAAACAAUUUGUAUUAAGGUGCAAGUUGCUAUUGGUGAGGUAAUGUGCUGCUCGAUACGUCUGGCAGUCGCAGUGUUCUAUAACAGUUCAUUAGGUUAACAUAUUGGUUUAUCAUAUGUUGCUGAAGAACUACUAAGUUAUAGCAUACUAUACCCUAUGAGCCGAAAUCAGACCAGGCUACCCGCUGGACUUAAGCAUAUUAGUCAGCGGAGGA
RNAcentral lists this ribosomal RNA (577 nucleotides) under uncultured fungus. RNAcentral describes it as "eukaryotic LSU rRNA". The stretch from base 199 to 350 matches the Rfam family "5.8S ribosomal RNA". Lineage: Eukaryota; Fungi. The record is from RNAcentral.